This 20-nucleotide microRNA is filed under the name Bos taurus (domestic cattle). RNAcentral's name for it is "bta-miR-1777b". The record is from miRBase by way of RNAcentral. Lineage: Eukaryota; Metazoa; Chordata; Mammalia; Artiodactyla; Bovidae.
GGGGGCGGUGGGGGGCGGGG